Non-coding RNA from Cricetulus griseus (Chinese hamster), 1110 nucleotides. Lineage: Eukaryota; Metazoa; Chordata; Mammalia; Rodentia; Cricetidae. The record is from RefSeq and is a predicted model, not a curated record.
UUUCCUGUCAAGAUGGCUGAGGAAGUGCACCAUGGCGAGGGAGACCUUUGCCUUUCAGGCAGAAAUCGCCCAGCUCAUGUCCUUUCUACUCAAACAAGGAAAUUUUCCUUCAAGAAUUGAUCUCCAAUGCUUCUGAUGCCUUGGACAAGAUUCGCUAUGAGAGCCUGACAGACCCUUCCAAAUUGGACAGUGGCAAAGAGCUGAAGAUUGACAUCAGCCCCAACCCUCAGGAGUGCACGCUGACUUUGGUGGACACAGGCAUUGGCAAGACCAAAGCUGAUCUCAUAAAUAACUUGGGAACCAUUGCUAAGUCUGGCACAAAGGCUUUCAUGGAGGCUCUCCAGGCUGGUGCAGACAUCUCCAUGAUUGGGCAGUUCGGUGUUGGAUUCUACUCUGCCUAUCUCGUGGCAGAGAAAGUGGUUGUGAUCACAAAGCACAACGAUGAUGAGUAGUAUGCUUGGGAGUCCUCUGCUGGUGGAUCCUUCACAGUGGGGGCAGACCAUGGUGAGCCCUUUGGCCGGGAUACCAAAGUCAUCCUUCAUCUCAAAGAAGACCAGAGAGAGUACUUAGAGGAGAGGAGGGUCAAGGAAGUGGUGAAGAAACACUCGCAGUUCAUAGGCUCUCCCAUCACCCUCUUUUUGGAGAAGGAACGAGAGAAGGAGAUCAGUGAUGAUGAGGCAGAAGAAGAGAAGGGUGAGAAAGAGGAAGAAGAUAAGGAUGAUGAGGAAAAGCCAAAGAUUGAAGAUGUGGGAUCAGAUGAGGAGGAUGACAGUGGCAAAGAUAAGAAAAAGAAAACGAAGAAGAUUAAGGAGAAAUACAUUGAUCAGGAAGAGUUGAAUAAGACUAAGCCCAUUUGGACCAGAAACCCUGAUGACAUCACUCAAGAAGAAUAUGGUGAUUUCUAUAAGAGCCUCACCAAUGAUUGGGAGGACCACUUGGCAGUCAAGCACUUCUCUGUAGAGGGUCAGUUGGAAUUCAGAGCAUUGCUCUUCAUUCCUCGGCGAGCUCCCUUUGACCUUUUGGAGAAAAGAAGAAGAACAACAUCAAACUGUAUGUCCGUCGUGUGUUCAUCAUGAACAGCUGUGGUGAGCUGAUCCCCUAGUACCUCAA